RNAcentral lists this long non-coding RNA (238 nucleotides) under Parus major (Great Tit). RNAcentral describes it as "lncRNA (ENSPMJG00000007091.1)". The record is from RNAcentral. Lineage: Eukaryota; Metazoa; Chordata; Aves; Passeriformes; Paridae.
GCAGGCUGGGGGCGGUGGGGCCUGGGGAGCUCGGGGUGCCGCACGGGAGAGCGGGAGAAGGGCUGCGGAGUGGAGCGCUGUCCCAAUGCCUCCGUACACCGACCCGCCCAGCCCGCUGCCCCUCACUCCCCUUCCCCGAGAGUUCCCCCGUGGAGUGAGGGGCAGCUGUGCUUUGUGUCAUCCUUGCCUCCUACUACGAAUUGAAGGACAAAAGUGGAGGUAGUGGAUGAAAAAUGAG